AUGUCUCAUGAGGCCAACACAGUACUUCAAAACCAAACACUUAUGAAUUUCUUCUCAACGAUCAUUGCUGCAGCCCCAGGGAAAAUCAAGACAGCUGUGAGUGGUCAUGGAAGCUCACAGAUCAUAAAUUUGCUGUUGCUCAACUGACCCAUCAAUCAAGUGGGAGCCAGGAGUAUCCCCUCAGAAUUUCUCCAGACUUAAUGUUCCAGGAAAGCUGAUUACACUUUACUCCUUUUGGCAGCCCAUAUAAUAAUAGUGCAACCAAACAGGAAAAGAAUAAAGAGGAGAGACAGAGAACAUUGAGGUAGUAAUAAAAUUCAUCCACAAGCUGACCACCCAGAAAUAAUCAAUUUUGUGCAUAUCCUUUUUGUCAUUAUUUUAGAAUCCAUUAUAUUUCCUGG
Molecule: long non-coding RNA, 401 nt
Organism: Pan paniscus (pygmy chimpanzee)
Lineage: Eukaryota; Metazoa; Chordata; Mammalia; Primates; Hominidae
Source: Ensembl